RNAcentral lists this ribosomal RNA (469 nucleotides) under uncultured bacterium. RNAcentral's name for it is "partial 16S ribosomal RNA". It matches the Rfam family "Bacterial small subunit ribosomal RNA", at positions 28 to 507 of the family's 1533-position model. The record is from RNAcentral.
GACGAACGCUGGCGGCGUGCUUAACACAUGCAAGUCGAACGAUGAAGCCUUAGCUUGCUUUGGUGGAUUAGUGGCGAACGGGUGAGUAACACGUGAGCAACGUGCCCAGGACUCUGGAAUAACCGCGGGAAACCGUGGCUAAUACCGGAUAGGUGCCGAGGCCGCAUGGUCUUCGGUUGGAAAGUUUUUGCGGUUCUGGAUCGGCUCACGGCCUAUCAGCUUGUUGGUGGGGUAAUGGCCUACCAAGGCGACGACGGGUAGCCGGCCUGAGAGGGUGACCGGCCACACUGGGACUGAGACACGGCCCAGACUCCUACGGGAGGCAGCAGUGGGGAAUAUUGCACAAUGGGCGCAAGCCUGAUGCAGCAACGCCGCGUGGGGGAUGACGGCCUUCGGGUUGUAAACCUCUUUUAGUAGGGAAGAAGCGAAAGUGACGGUACCUGCAGAAAAAGCACCGGCUAACUACGUG